CUGAGCCGAUUCCUCUUCGUGUUAAAAAAGUAUCCUGUCCCAGCAGCGCUUACCAUCUGCACCAAGAUGGUCCUGAGGGAAAAAGAAACGGGCAACCUCAGCAAUUAUGCUACUGCCAGUAGAGAGGGAAAGGGAGGAAGUAGCACCCCUAAGCCCCCCGCCUUUGUUCAUCUUGGCUGGCCCCGGCUCCAUCCGUCAUCUAAGCCCAGUGCUUCCAUGCAAGGCCAGUGACGAGGGCCAUAGCAGCAUGCUGCUCUUCCUGCCGCUCUCAUUAAAUCGUCUCUGUUUCCUGUACUGCAGUGGUCUGGUGAGGACGUCUAUGAGAACUCGACUGGCUGUACAGAAACUCUCUGCUGCCCUCUUUUGUUCAGUAAUGCUCAGAAUGACUUCCAUAAUCUGUUAGCCUGUAAAUUACUAAAAUGGGUAUAAAAAAAAACUUAAGAACACUGAUUAGAAAGUGCUUCACACAAUGAUGCAAAUUAUAAUCAAGGAUUAGAAGUGAAAGUGAUUUUAGCAUUUCAAGUGGAUUUUAUUUCCUGCUCAAAAGUAAGUUUUGUUCCUGUGCUAGAUUUAUGCUCUUUGGCAUAAAUCUGAUAGACAUACCUUCCAAAGCUGUCAUUUUCUACUAUUUUCUGUUUAGAAAUAUCAAACAAAAGAGUCUGUACCAAAUGUUUGGGCAUUUUGCAUUAGUGGAGUUUCUUGCAAAAUUGUCAGCCUGCAUGAGUUCCCUCUUCCGCAAAAGAAAAUGUGACAGGAAAUUUCACUAGGUGCAACUAUUAAGACAAAUAUGUUAGGCUUUUGAUACGCCAGUAAUAUAUGCUAUAAAUGAGAUGCAUCAGUUGGUGGUAAGAGACAUCAUUUCAACCAAUAUCAUGUGGGGAAAAAAACAAUAUUGCAGUUUAAAAGAUUACUCACAAGUCACAAAUAUUAAACUCUUGAUGACUAGUAAUAUCAACAAGCACAUUACUCUAAAGUAAUAUGCUUGUUUAUAUUUGAGAAAGCUAAACACAAAGUAGUAUAAUAUCGGAGUACAGGGGACCCAUUUUUUAUGCAGUGAUGUGAGGCUCUAAUGGAAACCAAACCUCGGAAGUGUUGUCAAGUCAUCAUGAAUUGGUACCUGGCAAACAAAUGGGCACAUUCAAUGAUUUCAUACAAUCA
Long non-coding RNA from Xiphophorus hellerii (green swordtail), 1158 nucleotides. RefSeq lists it as uncharacterized. The record is from RefSeq and is a predicted model, not a curated record. NCBI's taxonomy places the organism in Eukaryota, Metazoa, Chordata, Actinopteri, Cyprinodontiformes, Poeciliidae. The transcript has 2 exons.